CGGAGGAGGUAGCGGUCGCCUGUGCUUCAGCACAGGAGGAAAGUCCGGACUCCAGAGGGCAGGAUGUCCUGUCGCAAGGCAGGAUACUGGCGCCGCGAGGCGUCAGGAAGGAAAGUGGCACAGAAACUAUACCGCCCGCGAAAGCGGGUAAGGGUGAAACGGUGAGGUAAGAGCUCACCCUUUCUGCUCGAAAGGGCAGAAAUGGCAAAACCCCAUCCGGAGCAAGACCAAGCAGGGGGAUGGGUUGCCCGCCCUUAACCCCGGGUAGGUCGCUUAGAGUAAUGACCGCUGAUACAGAAUCCGGCUUAUUACCUCCUCCGGGGU
RNAcentral lists this RNase P RNA (324 nucleotides) under bacterium. Its description in RNAcentral is "RNase P RNA component class A". It matches the Rfam family "Bacterial RNase P class A". Rfam says of the family: Ribonuclease P (RNase P) is a ubiquitous endoribonuclease, found in archaea, bacteria and eukarya as well as chloroplasts and mitochondria. Its best characterised activity is the generation of mature 5'-ends of tRNAs by cleaving the 5'-leader elements of precursor-tRNAs. The record is from RNAcentral.